GGCCUAUUAGCUCAGCUGGUCAGAGCGUGGUCCUAAUAUAAGGCCAAGGUCGCAGGUUCGAGACCUGCAUGGGCCA
RNAcentral lists this transfer RNA (76 nucleotides) under Triticum aestivum (bread wheat). RNAcentral's name for it is "tRNA tRNA-Ile". It matches the Rfam family "tRNA". Rfam says of the family: Transfer RNA (tRNA) molecules are approximately 80 nucleotides in length. RNAcentral also lists the same sequence under 1 other name. The record is from Rfam by way of RNAcentral. Lineage: Eukaryota; Viridiplantae; Streptophyta; Magnoliopsida; Poales; Poaceae.